AAACCAGCACCUCAAGUGGUCAGGAUGAUUAUUGGGCCUAAAGCAUCCGUAGCCGGCUCUGUAAGUUGUCGGUUAAAUCUGUACGCUUAACGUACAGGCUGCUGGGAAUACUGCAGAGCUAGGGAGUGGGAGAGGUAGACGGUACUCGGGAGGAAGUGGUAAAAUGCUUUGAUCUCUCGAUGACCACCUGUGGCGAAGGCGGUCUACCAGAACACGUCCGACGGUGAGGGAUGAAAGCUGGGGGAGCAAACCGGAUUAGAAACCCCAGUAGUCC
RNAcentral lists this ribosomal RNA (274 nucleotides) under uncultured bacterium. Its description in RNAcentral is "partial 16S ribosomal RNA". It matches the Rfam family "Archaeal small subunit ribosomal RNA", at positions 473 to 747 of the family's 1478-position model. The record is from RNAcentral.